UUGCUUUAUUAGCACAUAUGCUAAAAUUAGAACGAUACAGAGAAAAUUACCAUGACCCUUGAAUGAGGAUAAAAAAUGCAGAUUUGUGAAGCAUUCCAUAUUUUU
Lontra canadensis (Northern American river otter) is the source of this 105-nucleotide small nuclear RNA. The record is from RefSeq and is a predicted model, not a curated record. Lineage: Eukaryota; Metazoa; Chordata; Mammalia; Carnivora; Mustelidae.